GGAGGGAUAGCUUAGUGGUUUGAGCAUUGGUCUGCUAAACCAAACCCACAGUCGUGAGGUCAAUCUUUGCA
Molecule: non-coding RNA, 71 nt
Organism: Pelodiscus sinensis (Chinese soft-shelled turtle)
Lineage: Eukaryota; Metazoa; Chordata; Testudines; Trionychidae
Source: Rfam